CUCUGGCUUUCCAAUACCAGCAGUUUCAGGUGGAGCACGUUCGUAAAGCUUUGUUUCAUCAAACUGGCCAUGCAUGGAUAAUGGAAUAUAUUUAGAAUCGACAUAUCCCGACACUUGAGCCGGUUUACAAAAAGUCACCUUGGAUCGGACUUCAGGAUCCAAGAAAUACUUACCAAUACUCCAAACACCUUCAAAAAGAGCCAUGCGGAAACCGGAACCAACAAUUAAAGCUUGACCAAGAAUUUCGGGAUAGUAAUU
Molecule: non-coding RNA, 258 nt
Organism: Schizosaccharomyces pombe (fission yeast)
Lineage: Eukaryota; Fungi; Ascomycota; Schizosaccharomycetes; Schizosaccharomycetales; Schizosaccharomycetaceae
Source: the annotation of a GenBank genome assembly